Molecule: small RNA, 105 nt
Filed under: Marmota monax (woodchuck)
Lineage: Eukaryota; Metazoa; Chordata; Mammalia; Rodentia; Sciuridae
Source: RNAcentral
GCUGGGCACAGUGGUGCACGCCUAUAAUCCUGCAACUCAGGAGGCUGAGGCAGGAGGAUCACAAGUAGAGACCAACCUCGGCAACUUAGUGAGACCCUGCCUCAA